UCCUUUUUUUCUCCCCUAACCCUAGCCGCCGCAGCUCCUUCUCCUUUCUAUAUAGGACCAUUGCCACCUCCGAUUGAAAAACCGAUGCCAUAUUCGUUCUCUUCAUCUCUCAACCCUCCUAAUGAACCGAAUCAAAUUUUGUUUCGGUGACUUGUCGUUGACCCAGAUUAUGGGUUGUGGUUUUGAUUUCAUUGAUACACUCUCUUUGUAUUCUCACCAUGAAAUUCAAUUUUUGUCACAGGUUUGGAAUGGAGAAGGGUUCUCUUAGGGUUUUGAAGGCUUGGUACUCUCCUAUCUCAAAUGUUUUUAUCUAUGAAAUGUGCAACAGUAAUUCCACGGCUGGAUUUUAAUAUUGAAGGUCUUCUUGCUAAAGAUGUAAGUUGUUCAUCUAUUUGCAUACCAGUUAGGAAAAAAAGCUUAAGAUCUGCAACUCUGUCUAACAUUGCGUUAUUGUAUUAUGAAUUUUACUCUGUUACAUCAAUCUUAGCCAGGGCUAAUUCAGGCAGUUAUUCCAAACAUGACAAAUCCGUCCGAUAUCCUCCGUAGAGCUAUGCAUCCACAAUUGAGUGGAGGGUUCAAGGAGCCAAAUCAGAUGCAUGAUAUGUGGGAGUAUGAGCUUCACAAUGUUAUACAAAUGAGCUUUGCAACAACUGCUCCCACAAGUGUAGCACAUAAUUGCAGGUUGAUUUAUUGAUUGGUAAAGGGAAGGGAAGACCACACUGCCAUCUCUGCGGUAGGAAUAGGAGGGCAAG
This is a long non-coding RNA of Vicia villosa (hairy vetch), 752 nucleotides long. RefSeq lists it as uncharacterized. The transcript has 4 exons. NCBI's taxonomy places the organism in Eukaryota, Viridiplantae, Streptophyta, Magnoliopsida, Fabales, Fabaceae. The record is from RefSeq and is a predicted model, not a curated record.